UACGUAGGGUGCAAGCGUUAAUCGGAAUUACUGGGCGUAAAGGGUGCGCAGGCGGUUCUGUAAGUCAGAUGUGAAAUCCCCGGGCUUAACCUGGGAACUGCGUUUGAAACUACAGGGCUAGAGUGUGGCAGAGGGGGGUGGAAUUCCAUGUGUAGCAGUGAAAUGCGUAGAGAUAUGGAAGAACAUCGAUGGCGAAGGCAGCCCCCUGGGUUAACACUGACGCUCAGGCACGAAAGCGUGGGGAGCAAACAGGAUUAGAAACCCCCGUAGUCC
This 273-nucleotide ribosomal RNA is filed under the name uncultured bacterium. RNAcentral describes it as "partial 16S ribosomal RNA". It matches the Rfam family "Bacterial small subunit ribosomal RNA", at positions 524 to 796 of the family's 1533-position model. The record is from RNAcentral.